RNAcentral lists this ribosomal RNA (253 nucleotides) under uncultured bacterium. Its description in RNAcentral is "partial 16S ribosomal RNA". It matches the Rfam family "Bacterial small subunit ribosomal RNA", at positions 524 to 776 of the family's 1533-position model. The record is from RNAcentral.
UACGAAGGUCCCAAGCGUUGUUCGGAAUCACUGGGCGUAAAGGGAGCGUAGGCGGCGUGGUAAGUCAGAUGUGAAAUCCCGGGGCUCAACCCCGGAACUGCAUCCGAUACUGCCAUGCUUGAGGGUUGGAGAGGUAGCUGGAAUUCUCGGUGUAGCAGUGAAAUGCGUAGAUAUCGAGAGGAACACCAGUGGCGAAGGCGAGUCCCUGGACAACACCUGACACUGAGGCACGAAAGCUAGGGGAGCAAACAGG